GCACAAGCGGUGGAGCAUGUGGCUUAAUUCGAUGCAACGCGAAGAACCUUACCUGGGCUUGACAUUUGGGGAAAAGCCGUAGAAAUACGGUGUCCUUCGGGGCCCCAAACAGGUGGUGCAUGGCUGUCGUCAGCUCGUGCCGUGAGAUGUUGGGUUAAGUCCCGCAACGAGCGCAACCCCUAUCCUAUGUUGCCAGCGGGUAAUGCCGGGGACUCGUAGGAGACUGCCGGUGCCAAACCGGAGGAAGGUGGGGACGAAGUCAAGUCUUCAUGCCCCUUACGUCCAGGGCUGCACACGUGCUACAAUGGCCGGUACAAAGGGUUGCAAACUCGCGAGAGUGAGCUAAUCCCAAAAAGCCGGUCUCAGCUCGGAUCGCAGUCUGCAACUCGACUGCGUGAAGUCGGAGUCGCUAGUAAUCGCAGAUCAGCAGGCUGCGGUGAAUACGUUCCCGGGC
RNAcentral lists this ribosomal RNA (454 nucleotides) under uncultured bacterium. Its description in RNAcentral is "bacterial SSU rRNA". It matches the Rfam family "Bacterial small subunit ribosomal RNA", at positions 923 to 1379 of the family's 1533-position model. The record is from RNAcentral.